RNAcentral lists this ribosomal RNA (496 nucleotides) under uncultured bacterium. RNAcentral's name for it is "partial 16S ribosomal RNA". It matches the Rfam family "Bacterial small subunit ribosomal RNA", at positions 28 to 506 of the family's 1533-position model. The record is from RNAcentral.
GAUGAACGCUGGCGGCGUGCCUAAUACAUGCAAGUCGAGCGAACAGACGAGGAGCUUGCUCCUCUGACGUUAGCGGCGGACGGGUGAGUAACACGUGGAUAACCUACCUAUAAGACUGGGAUAACUUCGGGAAACCGGAGCUAAUACCGGAUAAUAUAUUGAACCGCAUGGUUCAAUAGUGAAAGACGGUUUUGCUGUCACUUAUAGAUGGAUCCGCGCCGCAUUAGCUAGUUGGUAAGGUAACGGCUUACCAAGGCAACGAUGCGUAGCCGACCUGAGAGGGUGAUCGGCCACACUGGAACUGAGACACGGUCCAGACUCCUACGGGGGGCAGCAGUAGGGAAUCUUCCGCAAUGGGCGAAAGCCUGACGGAGCAACGCCGCGUGAGUGAUGAAGGUCUUCGGAUCGUAAAACUCUGUUAUUAGGGAAGAACAAAUGUGUAAGUAACUAUGCACGUCUUGACGGUACCUAAUCAGAAAGCCACGGCGAACUACGU